GUUUGCCGAGCGACUUGGCAUGACAUUUUGACAGUGAUCAAUAGCAAAGAAAAAAAAAUAACACACACACACAAGCUCUCUCGCUCUGCUUGUGGUGGAGGCUUGAACCAAAAGUAGCCGGGCACGGCUCCGGAGCAGCUAUAAAAAUAGGCUGCUUCCCCCACCCCAUCCUGUUACGCUGGGAGAUGGAUCCCGGAGUCUCCUCUCCGCCGCUACGAGGAAGACCAGGAUCUAAAAGAGAAGAAGGAAGUUGUUGAAGAAACAGAAAAUGGCAGAGAUGCACCGGCCAACGGCAAUGCUAACGAGGAAAACGGGGAGCAGGAGGCCGACAACGAAGUAGACGAAGAGGAAGAGGAAGGUGGCGAGGAAGAGGACGAGGAGGAAGAGGGUGAUGGUGAGGAGGAGGACGGCGACGAAGACGACGAAGCUGAGGGAGCCACAGGCAAACGGGCAGCUGAGGACGACGAGGUAGGCAGAGCACCCCUUGUGUCCCGAGUGGGUUUUGGGGUGGAAUCAGUGGGGUCGGAGGCACCAGGCUGGGCUUUGGGACCCGGAUCCUGCCCGUGUGGUUCCCGCUGUGUGUGCCCCUGGGGGAUUCGGCCCAGUUCUUCAUGUACUGGCCUGGCUGUGAUCACCCUGGGUUUGGGAUCCCAGUGCUGUGGUGGGAUGGGACAGGGGUGCUCCGGCCCCAAAACCAGCUGCCAGAGGCUUCAUGCUGUGGGGAACACUUCUGCUGCAGGGACAAAGCAGAACAAGAGCAGAGGGACCCAAAAUCUCCUUUAUUUCUGCCCCUUUAUUCUGUUGUCCCCUCCCCUAACGGCUUUACCUUUCCCCUCAGGACGACGACGUCGAUCCCAAGAAGCAGAAAACCGACGAAGAUGACUAGGCAGCAAAUUAUUAUUAUUUUUUUUUUUAAAUAAGGAGGAAAACAAACCAACAAAAAAGGCCAGCGCGUCCUC
Molecule: long non-coding RNA, 959 nt
Filed under: Anas platyrhynchos platyrhynchos (common mallard)
Lineage: Eukaryota; Metazoa; Chordata; Aves; Anseriformes; Anatidae
Description: lncRNA (ENSAPLG00000018710.1)
Source: RNAcentral